CCUACGGGUGGCUGCAGUGGGGAAUAUUGCACAAUGGGCGCAAGCCUGAUGCAGCCAUGCCGCGUGUGUGAAGAAGGCCUUCGGGUUGUAAAGCACUUUCAGCGGGGAGGAAGGCGGUGAGGUUAAUAACCUCAUCGAUUGACGUUACCCGCAGAAGAAGCACCGGCUAACUCCGUGCCAGCAGCCGCGGUAAUACGGAGGGUGCAAGCGUUAAUCGGAAUUACUGGGCGUAAAGUGCACGCAGGCGGUCUGUCAAGUCGGAUGUGAAAUCCCCGGGCUCAACCUGGGAACUGCAUUCGAAACUGGCAGGCUAGAGUCUUGUAGAGGGGGGUAGAAUUCCAGGUGUAGCGGUGAAAUGCGUAGAGAUCUGGAGGAAUACCGGUGGCGAAGGCGGCCCCCUGGACAAAGACUGACGCUCAGGUGCGAAAGCGUGGGGAGCAAACAGGAUUAGAUACCCUAGUAGUC
This 465-nucleotide ribosomal RNA is filed under the name uncultured Klebsiella sp. RNAcentral describes it as "bacterial SSU rRNA". It matches the Rfam family "Bacterial small subunit ribosomal RNA", at positions 338 to 795 of the family's 1533-position model. Lineage: Bacteria; Pseudomonadati; Pseudomonadota; Gammaproteobacteria; Enterobacterales; Enterobacteriaceae. The record is from RNAcentral.